AUUGAACGCUGGCGGCGUGCUUAACACAUGCAAGUCGAACGAAGUGGCGAACGGGUGAGUAACGCGUAAUCAACCUGCCCUUCAGAGGGGGAAAAAAGUUGGAAACGACUGCUCAUCCGGCAUACGGAAGGGGGGGAUGGAGUGUUAGCAGCUGGUUGGAGGGGUAACGGCCCAACAAGGCGAUUGACGGUAGCCGGGCUGAGAGGAGGAACGGCCACAUUGGGACUGGGACACGGCCCAGACUCCUACGGGAGGCAGCAGUGGGGAAUCUUCCGCAAUGGACGAAAGGCUGACGGAGCAACGCCGCGUGAGUGAUGACGGCCUUCGGGUUGUAAAGCUCUGUUAAUCGGGACGCGGUACCGGAAUAGAAAGCCACGGCUAACUACGUGCCAGCAGCCGCGGUAAUAC
This 408-nucleotide ribosomal RNA is filed under the name uncultured bacterium. RNAcentral describes it as "partial 16S ribosomal RNA". It matches the Rfam family "Bacterial small subunit ribosomal RNA", at positions 29 to 526 of the family's 1533-position model. The record is from RNAcentral.